This 974-nucleotide long non-coding RNA is filed under the name Ananas comosus (pineapple). RNAcentral's name for it is "long non-coding RNA (ACOM_LNC014752)". The record is from RNAcentral. Lineage: Eukaryota; Viridiplantae; Streptophyta; Magnoliopsida; Poales; Bromeliaceae.
UAAUAAUGCAAUAUUCAAAAAUAGCUAAAUUACCAAAGAAAAAUAUAAAUAUAUCUUUUUUAUAUUUUCAAAAAUCUAUAUUUUAUUCUCUUAAUAUUUCAAGUUGCUGCAUUUGACCCCUCUGUUAGGAUUUCAUCACUAUUUUGUUUAUAUUUUUAUAGUUUAUACAUGCAGAGCUACUAUGCUAUUGAAAGUAUAGCGCAUUACCAAUCCUAGAGCAAGUGGCAAAGGGCUUGGUGGUUGAUACCCGAGACACAAGUUCGAAUCCUAGUUGAUUUACAUUUUCAGCUAAGUUUAUUUCUAAAUGAAAUAAAUGAAGUGGGUAGCAUGCUACCUAUCUCUCAAAAAAAAAAAAAGAAAGAAGAAAGUAUAGCGCAUUUGAUGCUUCCGAUUUUUUGACCUUUGGAUUAAGAAUUGUACGGUUGGAAUGAUUGCGGUCCUCCUUAGGGUUGAGUAGUACAGCUAGGGUUCAGUGAUCCCUACAGGAUAAUAAUAUUAAUCUAAAGAUUAGAAAUAAUUAAAAAGACCGAUCUAAGGGCCAAAAAAUCAGAAGCAAAAAUCAGAAGUAUCAGAUUCUCUAUACUUCCGAUAGUAUAGUAACUCUAUUAUAAUUUAUACAAAAAAUUUCCUUCAAAAUAACAUAAAUAUAUUAGAAAAUUAUUUUUUUUCUUAUGGGAAAAGCAAGGGCAAUUUGGUUAUUUCGUUUCUCCAUUAACACCGUACUCCAUUUCUGAAAUUUUAAGAGAAUAAAAUAUAAGUUUUUGAAAGUCAGAAAGAGAAAGUAAAAAAACGAGUAUUUACAGAAAAAUUUUCUAUAAUUUAGCCUUCGAAAAUACAGUUAAUGAAUCAAAAAUUUGUAUUUUUUAUAUUUCAAAAUCAGCUAGUAGUUUAUUUUUCUAGAAGUGAUGCCUGACUUAUUUCUGUUCUGAAUUUAGAAAUCUAAAAUAUUUUAUAUUCCGGUAUAAUAUAAUCGC